This 76-nucleotide transfer RNA is filed under the name Caudoviricetes sp. Its description in RNAcentral is "tRNA-Cys". It matches the Rfam family "tRNA". From Rfam's summary of the family: Transfer RNA (tRNA) molecules are approximately 80 nucleotides in length. Their secondary structure includes four short double-helical elements and three loops (D, anti-codon, and T loops). The record is from RNAcentral. Lineage: Duplodnaviria; Heunggongvirae; Uroviricota; Caudoviricetes.
GGGUGAUUGACUUAACGGUAGAGUACUAUGCAGGUAUACAUGUAUAGGAGUGGAGGUUCGAUCCCUUCGUCACCCA